Molecule: ribosomal RNA, 269 nt
Filed under: uncultured soil bacterium
Lineage: Bacteria
Description: partial 16S ribosomal RNA
Rfam family: Bacterial small subunit ribosomal RNA
Source: RNAcentral
AGAAUCAACGCUGGCGGCGUGCCUAACACAUGCAAGUCGAGCGCGAAAGGGGGGCAACCCCCAAGUAGAGCGGCGAACGGGUGAGUAACGCGUGGGUAAUCUACCUUCGGGUGGGGAACAACACCGGGAAACUGGUGCUAAUACCGCAUAAUAUCGUCGGGUCUUCGGGUCUGACGAUCAAAGCUGGGGACCGCAAGGCCUAGCGUCUGAAGAGGAGCCCGCGUCCGAUUAGCUAGUUGGCGGGGUAAUGGCCCACCAAGGCUUCGAUC